Molecule: ribosomal RNA, 242 nt
Filed under: uncultured bacterium
Lineage: Bacteria
Description: partial 16S ribosomal RNA
Rfam family: Bacterial small subunit ribosomal RNA
Source: RNAcentral
AAUCCUGGCUCGGGACGAACGCUGGCGGCGCGCCUAACACAUGCAAGUCGAACGAGCGAGAGAGAGCUUGCUUUCUCGAGCGAGUGGCGAACGGGUGAGUAACGCGUGAGGAACCUGCCUCAAAGAGGGGGACAACAGUUGGAAACGACUGCUAAUACCGCAUAAGCCCACGGCUCGGCAUCGAGCAGAGGGAAAAGGAGCAAUCCGCUUUGAGAUGGCCUCGCGUCCGAUUAGCUAGUUGG